GGGGGGGCAUUCCUAACACAUGCAAGUCGAACGGUAACAUUUCUAGCUUGCUAGAAGAUGACGAGUGGCGGACGGGUGAGUAAUGCUUGGGAACUUGCCUUUGCGAGGGGGAUAACAGUUGGAAACGACUGCUAAUACCGCAUAAUGUCUUCGGACCAAACGGGGCUUAGGCUCCGGCGCAAAGAGAGGCCCAAGUGAGAUUAGCUAGUUGGUAAGGUAACGGCUUACCAAGGCGACGAUCUCUAGCUGUUCUGAGAGGAAGAUCAGCCACACUGGGACUGAGACACGGCCCAGACUCCUACGGGAGGCAGCAGUGGGGAAUAUUGCACAAUGGGGGAAACCCUGAUGCAGCCAUGCCGCGUGUGUGAAGAAGGCCUUCGGGUUGUAAAGCACUUUCAGUUGUGAGGAAAAGUUAGUAGUUAAUACCUGCUAGCCGUGACGUUAACAACAGAAGAAGCACCGGCUAACUCCGUGCCAGCAGCCGCGGUAAUACGGAGGGUGCGAGCGUUAAUCGGAAUUACUGGGCGUAAAGCGCACGCAGGCGGUUUGUUAAGCUAGAUGUGAAAGCCCCGGGCUCAACCUGGGAUGGUCAUUUAGAACUGGCAGACUAGAGUCUUGAAGAGGGGAGUGGAAUUCCAGGUGUAGCGGUGAAAUGCGUAGACAUCUGGAGGAACAUCAGCGGCGAACGGCGACUCCCUGGACACAGACUGACGCUCAUGUGCGAAAGUGUGGGUAGCGAACAGGAUUAAAAACCUGGAAGACCACUACCUACACGCUGCCUCUACCUGUGUGGUGUCUUUAAUAGGUGCGUAGCGAAGUUAACGGCUUAGUAAACCGCCCGGGGGAGUAGGCCGCAGGUAUUAAACUCAAAUCAAUGGAUG
RNAcentral lists this ribosomal RNA (881 nucleotides) under uncultured Alteromonas sp. RNAcentral's name for it is "bacterial SSU rRNA". It matches the Rfam family "Bacterial small subunit ribosomal RNA", at positions 38 to 915 of the family's 1533-position model. The record is from RNAcentral. Lineage: Bacteria; Pseudomonadati; Pseudomonadota; Gammaproteobacteria; Alteromonadales; Alteromonadaceae.